Molecule: ribosomal RNA, 253 nt
Filed under: uncultured bacterium
Lineage: Bacteria
Description: partial 16S ribosomal RNA
Rfam family: Bacterial small subunit ribosomal RNA
Source: RNAcentral
UACGUGGGUGGCAAGCGUUGUCCGGAUUUAUUGGGUUUAAAGGGUGCGUAGGCGGUCCUAUAAGUCAGUGCUGAAAUAUCCCGGCUUAACCGGGAGGGUGGCAUUGAUACUGUAGGACUUGAGUAAAGUUGAGGUUGGCGGAAUUGACGGUGUAGCGGUGAAAUGCUUAGAUAUCGUCAAGAACACCUAUUGCGAAGGCAGCUAACUAAGCUUUAACUGACGCUGAGGCACGAAAGUGUGGGGAUCAAACAGG